GGAAUAGACGGGGACCCGCACAAGCGGUGGAGCAUGUGGUUUAAUUCGACCGAACGCGAAGAACCUUACCUGGCCUUGACAUAGAAAGAACUUACUAGAGAUAGUUUGUUGCUAGCUUGCUAGAACUUUCAUACAGGUGCUGCACGGCUGUCGUCAGCUCGUGUCGUGAGAUGUUGGGUUAAGUCCCGCAACGAGCGCAACCCUCGUGUUUAGUUACUAACAGUUCGGCUGAGGACUCUAGACAGACUGCCUGGGUAACCAGGAGGAAGGUGAGGACGACGUCAAGUCAUCAUGGCCCUUACGGCCAGGGCUACACACGUGCUACAAUGGGGUAUACAAAGAGCCGCAAUACCGCGAGGUGGAGCAAAUCUCAUAAAAUAUCUCCCAGUUCGGAUUGAAGUCUGCAACUCGACUUCAUGAAGUUGGAAUCGCUAGUAAUCGUGAAUCAGCAAUGUCACGGUGAAUACGUUCCCGGGUGUUGUACUCACC
This 489-nucleotide ribosomal RNA is filed under the name uncultured Campylobacterota bacterium. RNAcentral describes it as "bacterial SSU rRNA". It matches the Rfam family "Bacterial small subunit ribosomal RNA", at positions 906 to 1391 of the family's 1533-position model. Lineage: Bacteria; Pseudomonadati; Campylobacterota. The record is from RNAcentral.